UAUUCGAUUCGAACGAUUGAA
Caenorhabditis elegans is the source of this 21-nucleotide non-coding RNA. The record is from Ensembl. NCBI's taxonomy places the organism in Eukaryota, Metazoa, Nematoda, Chromadorea, Rhabditida, Rhabditidae.